This is a long non-coding RNA of Arvicola amphibius (Eurasian water vole), 5164 nucleotides long. RefSeq lists it as uncharacterized. Lineage: Eukaryota; Metazoa; Chordata; Mammalia; Rodentia; Cricetidae. The record is from RefSeq and is a predicted model, not a curated record. The transcript has 4 exons.
GGGACUUCAACAAAUUCAGUAACAGUUAAUUUCACAUCCACCCGGGAGACAUGGGAGAGGACACAAUUCUACAGCAGGUCAGCUGCUCUGAGGGGCAACAAGCUACUUCAUGGAAAGUCACAUUUGAGAUCCAAGUAACUGAGGACUAGGAGUGACUUUUAAGAAAGGAGUCUAGACUCCUACCCACCAAGGCCCAGAAUCCACAAGCAGCCUCCAUACACCUGCUACCAUCCCCCACCACAUCUGUAACCACGUACGCCUUGGCCUGGACUGCCCCUGAAGAGGGGCAUCCUUGUCCUCAUCUGGAGUUGGCUGGUCCUGAGAGUGCUACUGUUCUUGGACUCCACAGAUGCUCAAGAGGGACGUUAAGCACCAUAUCUUCACUCUGUAUCUUCAGCCAAAGUGAGACUAAUGUCUGCAAAGAGCUAUCAUUUGGGAUGCAGAAAUCUCACAUGGGAUCAGAAUGAGUGCACCAAGUGCUAGUGAACAAUCAGGAGUCACUAAGACUCCAGAUUUCAUUUUCAGAGUGCAAUAUAACAGAAUAAGCUUUUACGCUUGGAAAUGAUAGAUAAAAUACGAUUUCAUUUUGUCAUUGCUUGACUAAGAAAAAGAAUUUCCCUGAAAACCCUUUCCUCAUUUUAUCCAUAUUCGAUUAUUUCUAUAAUCUGUGAUUCUGGUCUGUACACAAGAUAUAGGGAAAAGGAUGUCUUGGAAUGGCAAAAUCAAGGACAUCCUAGAACUGUGUGUGGUAAAACACAUUGAGUUAAAAUUUUAUAUUUAGCUCCAGAAUUUGGUGGGUAUAAGCUGGGACUUCCAGUCUUAGAGGCCAAUGUAACAACCAAAAAUAUAACUGCAAAUUGAGUGUUAAAUAAACUUUAGGGCUCCUGUGGGUGUUACAGAUGGGAUAAAGAAUUAGUUGAAAUGGGUUUACUGAGGAUAGCAUGAUGUUUUGGGAAGGCAGCCAUGGGAAGCCUUAUGUAGUUUCUGGGUUAUGUCUGACCUUUGGCCCCAUCCUUCUCUUGGUCUUGAGUCAGAAUUGAUACCUACUGCCAGGCUGUGGUCUGGUCAACAAUCCUAAGUUUUGGAAUGGACCUUCGAGCUCACCUUGUUGUGUACUUAUGAUCUUCAUUCCAGGAUUCCUCUCUGUCUCUAGGUCCAGAUCACAGAAAUGUACUCACACACUGUGAUGGCAAGCUGCUGUAUGCAGCUCCUAGAAUGGGACAAAUUAGCAAAGGUCAGAAGAUUUACUCUCAUGUUUUGGACUCCUGGGAACACCCCUAGUUUUUCCUCUGUGACUGCCACUUUUUAAGGCAGGCAAGUGUGGCAAAUUAGGUCUGAUUAAAAGCACAUUUCUUACUUUUCCAGAGAACACUUAUUCAGCAUCUUCUGUAUGCCAGUCAUUAUUCUAAGAUACAGACGUACAGAGUUAUGCUUAUGCCAUUGAUUGCCAGAAGGGAGGUUUGCCACGAAACCAAAUAGUCAUGUUGCAGUCAAGUUCACUAGAGACUUUGGAGAAACAAAGACCUUUAUAGAAAAAGAGCAUUUCAUGUGGGUCUUAAAUGACUGUACUUCAUUGAGAAUCAGCAGGAGCCUGUUGGAGGCAUUGCAGCAGAUAGAGAACUGUAACUGGGUAAACACCUUAGGAAAUUAGGGGAAAGAUUUAGUAGCCAACUUGACAGUAUCCUGUAGGUAGAAUUUUCUCUCCCGUCAGCCAGUUCCCAAAUAACCACACAGAGAGUUCUUAUUAAUUAUAAAUACACAACCAAUAGCUUAAGCUUGUUAUUAACUAGCUCUUACAACUUAAAUCAACACAUAUUUUUAUCUACAUUCUACCAUGUGGUUCAGUACCUUUCCUCAGUGUGGCAUGUUCAUCUUACCUCUCCCUGUGUCUCCUGGUGAUUCUGCCCUUCUUGAUUCCAGAGCUCUCUACCUGUCCACAAAUCCUGCCUAACCUCUUUCUGCCUAGCUACUGGCCACUUGACUAUUAAACCAAUGAGAGCCACACAUCUCCACAGUAUACAAAAGAGUAUUUUACAAGACUAUCCCAUGAAUUUGACAGUUUUAUUUCUUUCCAAUGAGAUACUACAAUAUCAUUUCACUUCAGAAUCAGGGGCUACCAUCCUUUGGCCAGGACUUCCCUUUUCUAAUGAUAAAUGGGAUAAUAUCUUAUUUUUCUCUUAAAAAAACUUCAUCCCUAUUUACAUCAUUGCUCAUUUUUAGGAUAAAUUUACUCCCACACAUGCUCCAAAUGUGAUCUUCGUGACUCAAGUGAAUACUAUAUUCAAUUAACCAAUUCCUAUAAGGUUGCUAAGUCUGAAUCAGACAGCACAAAUUUCUUUGAUUUCCACCCUGUUCAUUUCUCCCUCAUCCCACUCCCUCUCUGAAUGAAGCUCUGUGAAAGAAGAAGAAAAAAUAAUUGAGAAUCCAAUGCCAUGAAGUACUCCAAAUUAUGUCAUAAGAGAAAAAGCAAGGCUCUGUGAGGUUCAGUGUCACAUUUGUAAUACUUGCAUAUAAUAUUCUUUGAUCAAAUCUAUCUCAGCACAUUUUGUUAUCACCCACUUUUUCUUAUUUUUCUCUUCCUAUUUUUUAAUAUUUCUCCUUUCAACUUUGGAGGUGUAUUUUCUUUUAUCACUACAACAUACAACAGAAUAUCUAAGAUACCCAUUUUUCUGAGUCUGUAUUAUUCUAGUUAACAUGAUACUUCUGGUUCUACUCAUAAUCUUGUAAGUGACAUAAAGUUGUAGUCUUUGUUGUUUUAUAAAUUUAUUUUGUUUAUUAUUACUCUGUGUAUAUAUGCUGUUAUAUAUGAAUGACUGUAGACAUUUGUGCAUGCCAGUCUUCAUAUAAAAGUGAGAGAACAAGUUUCAGGAGUUGGAGUUCUCCUACCGAGGGAUCUGAAUAUAGAACUCAAGUGGUCAGCUUGCUCAGCAAGUGUUUUUACACACUGAGCCAUCUUAUUUGAUUCUUCCUAAUAGUUGAAUAAUCAUUCUUGGGUAUGCAUAUCACAUUUUCUCUACCUAUUCAUAGACUGACGGAUGCCUAGGUGGAUUUUAUUACUUAUCUAUAUUUGGACAAGGCUGUAAUAAACAUAGACAUAUAGAGUUUCUUAUAUAUCCUGACUCUGAUACCAAUAAGUAAACAAUCCAAGAGUGGUAAAGCUGGACAAUGUUUGAGUUAUAUUUUAUCUUUUUGAGCAACCAGCUUGCUCAUUUUCAUAGUGGUUUUGCUCAUUCACAUUCCUACCAUCAUUGUAUAAAGCCAAUCUCCAACCUUGCUAACAUCUGCGUUGUGUAUUCUCCUGAUGAUUGCAAUUCUAAUGUUAGUGAGUUGAAAUGUCAGUAUAGUUUUGAUUUACAUUUUUCUUCUAGUUAAAGAUGUUAGACAUUUUUCAUACAAUAACUCAUCAUUCAUAUUAUCUUGAGAACAUCUGUUUCACCCGUCUGCACACUUAUUGGCUAGAUUGCUUCCUUUAUUCCCAGUGGUAACUGUUCAGAGUUCUUUGUGCAUUCUGGAUGCUGUCAUAUGAUUAGCUGGCGAUGGUUUUCUUGGAUUCUGCAGUCAUCUUCUCUCUGUGCUGGUUUUGUCCUUCAGGAUUCAGAAGCUUCAAUUUGAUGUUAACCCUUUUGUCAGCUUUUGAUAUUGUUUCCUGAACUAAUUGAGUCUCAUUCUGGAAGCUCUAGCCUUUGCCUAUGUCUUAAAAUGUUUCCCCUCUGUUUUCUUUUAGUAGCUCAAGUUUCAUAGUAUGAUCUGUGAUCACUUUUUAAUUGAUUCCUAAACAGGGUCACAGAUAGGGAUCUAGUCUACUCUUUUACAUGUGCUAUUUGGCUUUCACAGUAUCUCUUAUCAUAAAAUCUAUAUUUUUUUUCCAAAUUGAGAGUUUGACACUUCUGCUGAGGAUCAAAUAGCCUAGAUAUGGGGGUUCAUUUCUGGAUAUUCCAUUCUGUUUCUCUAAUGUUUUUAUGCCAGUACCACUUCUGUUUAUAUUACUAUGGCUCUGAAAUAAUAUAUUUUGAUAUCAUGCAUGGUCAUACCCACAACAUUGAUUUUUUUAUACUACCAUAUAAAUUUUAAAGUAUGUUUAUUUAUUUACCUGAAGAAUAUUAUUCACAUUUUGUGGGGGAUUAUAUUAAAUCUCCAGGUUGCAUCUAACAAAAUAGCCAUUUUCACAUUAUUAAUUUACCUAUCCAUGAGCAUGGGCUCUUUCAGUGUCUUCUUUAAUUUCUCUCAUUGUACAUCAUAAUUUUCAUUACAAAGAGGUUUUCAACUUCUUCGAUAAGUCUGAUGUGUUUUUGGAAGAUAUCAUGAAGUGGAUAUUUUUAUUUCUUUCUCAGCAAGAUCAUGAUCAAUGCAUGAAGACGCUAAUAGAAUGUAUACAUUAACUUAGUAUCCUGUUGCUUUGAUGAACUUCUCAGCCAGAUUAAAAUGUCUUCUGUGUUAUUAAGUAUAGAAUCAUAUCAUCUGUUAGCUAGAAUAAUUUGACAUUUCCCUUCCCUGAUCGUAUACUUUUUAUUCAUUCUCAUAUCUUAUUGUUAUGGCUAAAAUUUCAAGUACCAUAUGGAAUAGAAGUGGUAAUAAUUUUAAAGCAAAUAUUUUCAGGAUUUUCCUGAUUCAUUAGGGUGUUGGUACUUGUUAUGUAGAUUUUAUUAUGUUAUCUUUUUAUUUCCAGCUUAUCUAUUGGUGAGAGUGGCACAGUGAUGUAAAUCAUAUGCAUUGUAUUUAGGUCUACUUUUUUAAUGCCCAAUGGAAUUCAUUUUAUAUUAUUUCAUUCUUUGACUUCUGAGUGAUACGUAACAUAUACAUGUACUUAUGAGUAUGUACAUAUAUAUAUAAUUUAUGCUUAUAAUUGUCAUAAGUUCUUGAUGGUACAUUCUCUUUAAAAACAUUUACUGGAUCGUUUUGUGCCUUCUGUUUAUUUUGCUUUGAGGUUUAUUUUGUCAUAUAUGAGUAUAGUGAGCACUGCAUGAUUUGACAGUCUAGUUCUCUAAAAUAUUAUUUUGUACCAUUACCCUUUCAUUUUCAGCCCAUAUGUGUUCUGGGUGGUGAUAUGGAUUUCUUACGGCAGCACAAAGUUAGGCUCUGUUUUAAAUGUCAAGAAUUAGUCUGGAUCUUUUGUUUUUUUUAAUGUCAAAAAUAGAUUCUUCUUAAGCAAUAUAUUUUGGUUAUG